GUAGGGAAUAUUGCGCAAUGGGGGAAACCCUGACGCAGCGACGCCGCGUGAGUGAUGAAGGCCUUCGGGUCGUAAAGCUCUGUUGCAGGGGAAUAAAAAAAUGAAGGUACCCUGUGAGGAAGGAUCGGCUAACUUCGUGCCAGCAGCCGCGGUAAGACGAGGGAUCCUAGCGUUGCUCGGAAUCAUUGGGCGUAAAGAGGGCGUAGGUGGCUUGGUAAGUCAGGUGUGAAAGCCCAGGGCUCAACCCUGGAAGUGCAUUUGAUACUGCUGAGCUUGAGUGUCGGAGAGGUUACCGGAAUACCUGGUGUAGUGGUGAAAUACGUAGAUAUCAGGUGGAACACCGGAGGCGAAGGCGGGUAACUGGACGAACACUGACACUGAGGCCCGAAAGCGUGGGGAUCAAACAGGAUUAGAUACCCUGGUAGCCC
This 428-nucleotide ribosomal RNA is filed under the name uncultured bacterium. RNAcentral's name for it is "partial 16S ribosomal RNA". It matches the Rfam family "Bacterial small subunit ribosomal RNA", at positions 354 to 796 of the family's 1533-position model. The record is from RNAcentral.